GCUGGGCACGGUGGCACAUGGCUGUAAUCCCAGCUGCUUGAGAAGCUGAGGCAAGAGGAUCACAAGUUCAAAGCCAGUCUCAGCCACAGAGUGAGGGCCUGAGCAACUUAGUGAGACCUUGUCUCAA
This 127-nucleotide small RNA is filed under the name Marmota monax (woodchuck). The record is from RNAcentral. Lineage: Eukaryota; Metazoa; Chordata; Mammalia; Rodentia; Sciuridae.